RNAcentral lists this ribosomal RNA (253 nucleotides) under uncultured bacterium. Its description in RNAcentral is "partial 16S ribosomal RNA". It matches the Rfam family "Bacterial small subunit ribosomal RNA", at positions 524 to 776 of the family's 1533-position model. The record is from RNAcentral.
UACGUAGGGGGCUAGCGUUGUCCGGAAUCAUUGGGCGUAAAGCGCGUGUAGGCGGUCCGGUAAGUCCGCUGUGAAAGUCGGGGGCUCAACCCUCGAAUGCCGGUGGAUACUGUCGGGCUAGAGUGCGGAAGAGGCGAGUGGAAUUCCUGGUGUAGCGGUGAAAUGCGCAGAUAUCAGGAGGAACACCUAUUGCGAAGGCAGCUCGCUGGGACGGUACUGACGCUGAGACGCGAAAGCGUGGGGAGCAAACAGG